CGUUGUAUGACCCUAAAAAAUUUGAGCGCCAAGUUUGCCACCAAGUUAUGUCAUGCCAAACCCAUCUGAAGCCCUAAAUUUUCCCCAACAUGUGUCAGUCAUACGACGAUAAACAAAAAACCUGUCGUCUAAUAAAUAUGUCUGACAGAAAGGAGGGAAAUUUCCCUCCUCCAUCUUUCUCCAGCUCCUCAAGGCGGGAAGUCCAAUUAAUAAGAGACGAGGCUUUGAUUGUAUUCAGACGACGUUCUUACGUAAACCCAUUGUGUGAUUCCUUGUCCAAAUUGAUAGGGCCUCACAAAUCCGGCUGAAACCCCAACACUUGGAGAAAAAAACAUAACAAAAAGAACUAAAUAAUAGCAAAACGUACCCCUCUUUCGACAGCUAGCCCUUGCUCUAUGUUAAUUGACUCAACUCACUGUCGACAGAUCCAAAAACAAGACCUAGCUAGCUCUCGCCCAGUGGCCUCACUCUCGACACACCUAAUCCAAAACCGGAAUCCUCUCUAUCUCAACAUACCCAAAGCCAAACGAAAUUCCUCACUCUGUAGCCUAGACCUCACUCUCCCAAACCCUCAUUCUUCUCUCUAACCAAUCUCAUCUCUCUUAGAAUGAGAUUGAGUCGGUGAACUGAGAUUGAGUCGAUGAACUGAGAUGACGCCAGUUCAGCCUCUCUAGAUCUAAUCGAUUCCCUUGGAACGAAGCACUGUUAGCCUCUCCGACUGGUUCUCGUCGCACCCAGGGGCAAGUGGAGACCAAAUUGUUUCUUUUUCCCGUCGCACCUAGCUACAAGAUCAAAUUUCUGGUUUUCUCAAAUUCAGCAAGAGUUGGAGGCUUAGAUGGAGUAUUGAUACCUUGGGCAAGAAGAUUAAACACGGAAACUUGUGGAGAUUGCAAGGGUAAGAGAGAAAGGGAGCUCAAAAAGCUGCUGGAAAAUUUUAAUAGCAAACGAAGAUGGAAGAUAGGUCUUGGAUGCAUGCAGAUAAAAGAUCUUUAGCUUAUGAGUUAGGGGUGGGAAGUUUCUUGAAGUUUGCUUUAGAAAAUGUGAAAAAUCCUAACAAUGUUGCUUGUCCAUGUUCAAAAUGUGGCAAUAUGGAUUUCUUUCCUAUCUCUGUUAUCAAGACUCAUUUGUAUUAUAAUGGGGUUGAUGAAACUUAUAAGGUAUGGAAGUGGCAUGGGGAGAAAGAAGAUACGUCUUCGGGUAGUAGUGAAGAUUCAGCCUCAGGUUCAAUUGAAUCUGAAUCUGUGGGUGGGAAUG
Rosa chinensis is the source of this 1254-nucleotide long non-coding RNA. RefSeq lists it as uncharacterized. Lineage: Eukaryota; Viridiplantae; Streptophyta; Magnoliopsida; Rosales; Rosaceae. The transcript is spliced from 4 exons. The record is from RefSeq and is a predicted model, not a curated record.